AAACUAAAAAAAUCCGAUAAAUAAUAAUCAGAUGAUUAUAAGAUUGAAUAACAGUUACUAUUUUAUAAUAACCUCGAAGAAUGUAUAAGUAAUAAAACAACUCAAUGGAAUGCAACUGUAAUUAAAUUGAAAAUAUAUACAGUACAAACCUUUUUUUUUUUUUUUCUUGUGUCCCGAAAACGUAUAAUAACUAUUUCACAGGUAUGUAUAAUGUAUAAUGUACUUACUUCAAACGUGGUAGAAAACUAAAAUUACGAAACAUGAUUCUGCCCCUCCUCCAUUAUAAUUUCUUGCUGAUGAACAUGAUUCUGCUCCUCCGUGGAAAUCGAAAGGCCACUCUGAUUCAUC
RNAcentral lists this long non-coding RNA (348 nucleotides) under Prunus persica (peach). Its description in RNAcentral is "long non-coding RNA (PPER_LNC003888)". The record is from RNAcentral. Lineage: Eukaryota; Viridiplantae; Streptophyta; Magnoliopsida; Rosales; Rosaceae.